GAAAUGCGAUACUUGGUGUGAAUUGCAGAAUCCCGUGAACCAUCGAGUCUUUGAACGCACAUUGCGCCCCUUGGUAUUCCGAGGGGCAUGCCUGUUCGAGCGUCAUUAUAACCCUUCAAGCUCAGCUUGGUGUUGGGGCCUGCCGCACAGGCAGCCCUUAAAAUCAGUGGCGGUGCUAUCUGGCUCUAAGCGUAGUAAUUCUCCUCGCUAUAGAGUCCCGGUGGAUGCUUGCCAUUAACCCCCAAUUUUCUAUGGUUGACCUCGGAUCAGGUAGGGAUACCCGCUGAACUUAA
RNAcentral lists this unclassified non-coding RNA (293 nucleotides) under uncultured Helotiales. Its description in RNAcentral is "sequence contains ITS1". The stretch from base 1 to 105 matches the Rfam family "5.8S ribosomal RNA", at positions 50 to 154 of the family's 154-position model. Lineage: Eukaryota; Fungi; Ascomycota; Leotiomycetes; Helotiales. The record is from RNAcentral.